Molecule: ribosomal RNA, 292 nt
Filed under: uncultured bacterium
Lineage: Bacteria
Description: partial 16S ribosomal RNA
Rfam family: Bacterial small subunit ribosomal RNA
Source: RNAcentral
GUGUCAGCCGCCGCGGUAAGACAGAGGUGGCAAGCGUUGUUCGGAAUCAUUGGGCUUAAAGCGUGUGUAGGCGGCGGCGUAAGUGUCGAGUGAAAUGCCAGUGCUCAACGCUGGAACGGCUCGGCAUACUGCGUCGCUUGAGGUCGGUAGAGGCGCCUGGAACUCUAGGUGGAGCGGUGAAAUGCGUAGAUAUCUAGAGGAACGCCUGAGGCGAAAGCGGGGCGCUGGGCCGAUUCUGACGCUGAGACACGAAAGCGUGGGGAGCAAACAGGAUUAGAUACCCCCGUAGUCC